Molecule: unclassified non-coding RNA, 336 nt
Filed under: soil metagenome
Description: partial contains 5.8S ribosomal RNA, internal transcribed spacer 2, and large subunit ribosomal RNA
Rfam family: 5.8S ribosomal RNA (bases 1-120)
Source: RNAcentral
GAUGAAGAACGCAGCGAAAUGCGAUAAGUAAUGUGAAUUGCAGAAUUCAGUGAAUCACCGAAUCUUUGAACGCACAUUGCGCCCGCCAGUAUUCUGGCGGGCAUGCCUGUUCGAGCGUCAUUUCAACCAUCAAGCCCCCGGCUUGUGUUGGGGACCUGCGGCUGCCGCAGGCCCUGAAAAGCAGUGGCGGGCUCGCUGUCACACCGAGCGUAGUAGAUUUCAUCUCGCUCAGGGCGUGCUGCGGGUUCCGGCCGUUAAACCACCUUCAUAACCCAAGGUUGACCUCGGAUCAGGUAGGAAGACCCGCUGAACUUAAGCAUAUCAAUAAGCGGAGGA